ACACACCUAAAACUUUCCACGUGAACUGUCGUUAUUUGUUGUGUGUGUGCGGAAGCUGGCGUGCGUGCGUUUGCUUACKCUUCSGUGUUUGCGAGUGUGCGCGUGCUGGCGGUGCGCGGACUGAACGAAGGUCGUGUGUUGCUGUGUGUGCCUGCUGCACCGCUGACUUUGCWUUGAUUUGCWUGGYGUKGGCGGAGCGGMGGGKGUGCUGUGCGUGCGCGCGGCUGACUUAUUUUUUCAAACCCGAUACCUAAAUGACUGAUUAUACUGUGAGAACGAAAGUUCUUGCUUUAAACUAGAUAACAACUUUCAGCAGUGGAUGUCUAGGCUCGCACAUCGAUGAAGAACGCUGCGAACUGCGAUACGUAAUGCGAAUUGCAGAAUUCAGUGAGUCAUCGAAAUUUUGAACGCAUAUUGCACUUCCGGGUUAUGCCUGGAAGUAUGUCUGUAUCAGUGUCCGUAAAUCAAACUUGCGUUUCUUCCUUCCGUGUAGUCGGUGGAGGAGAGUUGCAGAUGUGAAGUGUCUCGCUGUGGUUGGCGUUCGUUGUUUGUAAUGAUGAAUGCACAGCUUGCGAGUCCUUUUAAAUGGACACGACUUUCUCUUUUUUGUAUCUGCGCGGUGCUGUGCGUGAACGCGGUGGUUUUCGGAUCGCUCGCGGCUGUCGGCGACUUCGGUGAAUGCAUGAUGGAGUGGACCUCGAUUCGCGGUAUGUUGGGCUUCGGCUGGACAAUGUUGCUUAUUGUGUGUUUGUUCCGUGUUCGCCUUGAGGUGUACUGGUGGCUGUGGGAUUGAACUGGUUGCUGUUGUUAGUAGUGUGUGGCGCGUUGUCGUGGGUGCAUCUGUGUUUCUGCGCAUUCAUUCGUGUGUGUGC
RNAcentral lists this ribosomal RNA (872 nucleotides) under Globisporangium mamillatum. RNAcentral's name for it is "eukaryotic LSU rRNA". The stretch from base 305 to 459 matches the Rfam family "5.8S ribosomal RNA". The record is from RNAcentral. Lineage: Eukaryota; Oomycota; Peronosporomycetes; Pythiales; Pythiaceae.